Molecule: long non-coding RNA, 6105 nt
Filed under: Androctonus crassicauda
Lineage: Eukaryota; Metazoa; Arthropoda; Arachnida; Scorpiones; Buthidae
Source: RNAcentral
CAAAAUUUUGUUUUGUAUCCUAGGAUUUUUUUACACUAAAUUUAAAUCCUACCUUUUAAAAAAUUCAAUCGUUUUAUGAUAAACAUGAAUUUUAACAUCAUGUUUAUGAUAUUUUUAUGUUAUUCUUUAUUCGCAAAAUUAUUUUUGGAUUAGAUAAAGAUGACUGUUUUUAUAAGGCCAUAAUACGCACACGAUAAGCAGAAAUCGCAGCGGUUGCGGGAAGCGAAAAGUUUUCAAACUGGUUGCGACGAGUAGCGACGCUGCUGCGUCCGAUUAUCGCUGUUGAUCUCUUUAUCCUUUCUGUGUCAUUUGUUCUUGGAAUCACAUAAUUGAGGUAUAAUUCGGUACGCGCUGCUGACAUGUGAGAUAAAAACCCAAUCCGACGCCCAGACUAAAUAACCGCGUGCCUUGGUCGGUUGCGUGAAUGCAGCAGCGACGCCGAUUCGCUUUUAGGUCGACCCCGCACGCUUAAUUACCCGUAAUCCUUAUUGGGCUUUUAAUGGCCAUUAGCCUUUGUUUGCCGGCUAAUUGAAUUCCGCAAAAAUCCAUUUUCGCCAAAUCCGAGUGUUUACACGGAUUAUGAUGGCGCGUCCGUGCGGAUUUACUAUUUGCAAAACUCGCUAACUGUAAUUAUCAGAAGAAACGCCAAGGGGAAUGGCUAUGCGUCGGCGCCACCGCUCGUCAUUUCCCUGAGAUAACACGCGCGCGCAACGGGAACGUUAUUCCUAUGCUCGUAGGAAUGACGUUUCCGGCGCGAGCGCAUUAAUGUUUUCCGUCCGUCGCGUGUUAGUGUUUUCGUGUCCGCUAUCGCACGUCACACUGAAAUGUGAUGUGCGGUAGCGGACGCGAAAACGCUAACACGUGGUUGGAUGGGCGAUAAACAAUUAUCGUCUUCUUCUCGUUUCUUAUUUCGGCUACCGCGUCACGCGUAUAUGUGGCUCGAGUCUUAGGGUUGGCACCAGUGACGUAAUGGACGGAAAAGUCAUCCGUCGCUUGGUAGAUCCGGUCGCCGACUAUGAGUCCAGUUACGUCAUCAGCCACCCAAUGCGGUAGGAUUACCCGAACGAAACUCUGCGCUUCUUUGUUUUCUGGAAGGUGUCGCCGCGUAAAGUAAUUAAAGCCAACUUCGGCGUUCCACCCAAACAGAGGAGACGUCACGCGACGGGACGACGCAUCAAUCCGCUCGGCUUUUUAAUAUUCGCGAUGAGCGUGAGGAUGGGUGCGGUCGAUGCAGAUCCAUUAAUAUAGGUUUUCUAUAAUUUUUCUUCGUGUUUGGGCGGUUUCCUUCCGACGGUCACGCGAACCGCUUUUUACGACGUCGUCUCCGAGUUCUGAGUAUUACUUACGUUCUUCCGUCUGCCGGACGAGUCCACCGGUCCGAAGAAUAUCUCAAAUUGGUAUUUCCCCCUUCUUUUUGGGGGCAAUUUGGAUGCCGAAUUGAUUUUUUCGACAAAUCGAUCGUCGGAACGAUAAUGGGUCGAAAAUCGGCGACGACCGAAGGAGAUACGGUCGUCGACGUCAUCGAUCAAAGAUAAGAUCUGCCGUGACGUCAUAACGGUCGGCGUUAAUUUCGUCGCUCGAACUAACACCUCCGAAAUAUGGAAUUUCCAGACUUCCCAGCGGGAAAAACCGGAACCGAUUAUAAACAGGUGGGCGAGGACAAAUAACGGAGUUAAUGGAGGUCGGGCUGAGCCCGCCAAUUAUUACGCACCAGGGCUAUGAGAAAUCACAUAGUUUUUCUUUAUUGAAGACCAACGUAUUUGAUUUCUGACCGGAAAUCAACGCGCAAUCCUACAUUUAAUACUAGGCGGGCCCGGGAACGAUCUCUCUCCAUCCGAGGUGGCGUAACCGAAGGAAGGUCCAGAUGUCCGUUAGAAGACUGCGCGGUGGCCAUUGUGUCGGUUGUCAUGACAACGUAACACCGACGGUGGGCGGGGGGAGACGUUAGAGAAAGGGUCUGUCAGCGGGAUCCGGAUUGAUGGCCGAGCUACGAAAGCCGGAGGAGAAUAAUUUAAUCUCUCCCCGCGGCCGAUAGAAAAAUAGUUCUCGGAAAGCCUCCUACUCGCUGCCAAUAAAUGACAAUAAUAAUAACGCGUUCGUGUUCUCGGAAUUUUCCCAGACGGAACGUCGUCGGCCGACCGUCUUUUAUAUGCCUCGUUCUGUCUGUUUUAAGGGCCGAAGGCUGGCGGUGCAAUCUCCCAAAUAAAUAUAUUUUUUAAAGCACAGCCCAUCCCUAGAGAUAGAGCGUCAGGAUUGUAGCCAGAUCUGUGGGACAGGGUGGUAAACGGACGAAGGAUGGUGGAGUUUGAGUGUCUGAGAGACCGGGCAGGGAAUCGCUCAUAAAUAUGUAACCGGACCGAGCCACGUCGGAAGGAUAGCUGGCUAAAGAUUAUCGUUGGCUGACAGAUCGCAUUAGCCCGCGCACCGCGUUGUCAUUCAGACCCAUUACCUUGAUUAAAAGAGCGAUGUCGAUCUGGCUCCGGAUGCCCGGGCUCUCUUCCGGGUAGAGAGGCCAAUUACACCAGUGCGUCAGUGUUGGCCGUUAUUGUUAACGUUACGACAGGACCGGGACCACCCGGUAAAGUAAUUUUGUUAUUAAAUCGUUAGCGGCUGUGGCGGAAAGAGGCAGUCCCAAAGGUAGCAGUCAUUUCCGUUUUUCCAUUUCUACAUCCGACAGUACGAAAAAAAUAUCGAGCCUGGUCAUCCAGACCACCGAGUACCCAAUAUUUAUGGAUAUUCGAGUCAUCAAUUUUGGUUAGACAUGACGACCGACCUCUCGCUAGAAAGCGUCGACUCAAAUUGUUUCCGACUUAAAGGUUUAGACUGUAAGCUGACUGGGAAGGAAGGAAACAGAUUAAUUUGGCGCUCCCCGAAGGGAGGAAUUAUGGUUGGAAAAGUCAAAGGUGUGGAGUCGGGCGCGACAGUCCGGCCCAGUGUACAUGUCGAUUAAUGUUAACGCAGGGCGGAAGUUCCGUUUAAUGGAGCGCGACUAUAACCGCAAAUUUCUUUUUCUCGCCUCCAAACGGGAUUUACCCAUGUUGCAUACCGACCGCGCAGCGCCGAAGAGAGGCACCCUCGUUUCGGUCGGUGUGGGGCUUUGGCUGUCGGAAACGUGCCAUCCCGGUCUAAACCGAUCGAUAGACGUUUAUCUAGCGACGACUCCACCCGACCGCCGACCUCUAGAAUCGUUUUGGGAUUUCACGCGUUCCGAACUGUCGGACCGAAUCGCAUUUUCUCCGGCAGCUGUUGGUUUGGACACUUUUCCUUUUAAUUGGCCGUCAGAUCCUUUCUCUAUUUUGUUGCUACUUAAGUCCCACAGAUUCAGAAUCCGGAAAAAGAAACAUAAAGUCCGGAUAGUGGUUCUCCAUGCAAACCCUUUCAUCGGCAUCUAUACUGUUGUAAUUCAUUCGAAUAAGAAAUAUCGGGGCUCUUCGGCCGGAGUUCGAACUGCGCAAAAUGUUAACGAUAAUUGGGGCGGUCAGAAAUGAGGGAAUCUGUGGCGCUAUAGGUUGUGUCUAUCGAUCGACGGUUAAGAACCCCGGGUCGGCCUCUUCUUUAGAUAGAGAAAGUCGAGAGAACGGAAGUAUUUGACACCUUUCUCUCGGCGCAUCGAUAAUUUACGGCGAGUUUCAUUUCGAAAUAUAUUUUUCAGUCGAAGCGCGCCAGUUUUGUUUGGUGUCAAAGGCCGGCUAUUACAAUUGUGAUAGGAAAAGCGCAGAGAGCUGGAUGGAUGCCGCCCAACUCCGUAACCCAAUUUAAAACCACUCCUAUCUGUGCUUCUUCUUUCGUCCUUGACGCUGUAAAGGGUACAUUGGUCGUCCGUUUUCACCGCACCAAGGACGGAACAAAGAAACCCUUUUGCGGCAUCGACAGAAAAAAAAAAUUAGAUGGAAGUCGGGUCAUUCGAGAGAAAUGGAAUGAAAGAGGUGUCCGCUGGCACGUGUACGCACCAGCUACGGGUAGGUGGACCGGAAGAGGAAGCCAGUGGCCCUCAGACGGCCGCAACAGUUGACGGGAGAAAUUAGAACAGCCGAUCAUCCAUCACCAGUGGCGCAGUCUCAGUGGAUUGGAUCGAUGAGAAGACCGUCUGCGCAUUCUCUUUCUCCUUCUGCUUGAGGCUUCGCGCUCAGACUGUGAUGACUGGAUCCGAGAAAGUUGGCGCUUAUUUCGUUCCGGAUGCCUCUUCCGCCGGGGAGGCGUUAGGUCCUGCCGCCGCCCCGGUAAGUAAACAUCCGGUGUCCGGAAGGGAGGGCCGAACGCGCUGAGAAACUGCGAAUGCAACCUAAACCGGCCUAAUUUCCAAGUGAAGAAACCUUCGCUCGAUUCUUAAAUCGAGUUCUCAUUAUAUUUCAUGGUGUAUUUUGCUUUAGUUCUAUUUCUUUUUUCAUAUUUCAUUCUUAAAUUCUAAAGGAAAACACGGUUUUAUUGGGAAUCCGUUGGUUCAAUUCCCGUUUGUCUCUAAUCUUAUGUUUUACGCCGCUUUCUAUCCGAAGAUACUAAACGGCUGGACGAUUUCAAAGCCCAUUAUGGGUCGCCAGCAGAUGAAGGAUGGAGUCUAUCGCAUAUCAUAUAGAAAGAGUUAAAUUGGUUUUAGGAUUUUCCGUCCGUAAUAAGACUUUGGCUUCUAUUUUCGAAUCGAAAAUUUUACUUAAGCAUGCUAGAAAUUGCUUCCGAUAAAUAGUAUAUUGCAAAGUAGAUUUGCACGGAUGAUGGUGCUAAUUCUCAAAUUAAGAAUAAAUGAAUCGUCGAUUGUUUUAUAUUCAAGUUAUGCCCGAAGUGAUUAGUCUACUCAUUAUCUCGAAAUCUUUAUGUCAAACUUAUAUUAGCGAAUUUCUAAAAAAUAUAACUUUUUCAAUGUCAAUUGUGAGGGAUUAACCCCUGAAGCUCUCCGUGAGCAAUAUGGCAACUCUAUCUUAUCUAACCUGAAGGUCUCUUCGCAUAAAUCUUUGUAUUCGACCGUUUUUCUUGUUUGUUAUUCAUCAAGGGAAAUUCAGCAUAUAGGGAAAAUGUUUUCAAUACUUAAUUUUAGAUACUUAUCCUUUCCUUUGUCUAAGAGAUCAAGGAUUUAUAGUUCUCGAUCCUAUCGCUUAAUGUUAUAUAUUUUAUUACAGUAAAUUCUCAGAAUUCUUAUUUUCUUUGUGGAGGAGACAACGACUCGUCUCUCUUCGAACUAUCUCUCAUCCACGAUUUAUUUGACUAUGAUGGAGUUUCAUCCUGUUAAAUCUUUCACUGAAAUAAUUGUGAGGAGUGUGCCAUCCAAAUUUAAAAUAGACUUUAUCUGUCAUUUUCCGCAAUGUCCCUCGUCUGUACUAGCAGAUGUGUUGAGACAGUGGCAUUUGUUGGAGUUGGAUUCGGGCCAGGAUGGUAGAAAACGCAUGGAACUGGAUACUGAUGACGCUAUGAAAAAGACAGCGGCGCAUUAUCGAAUUCUCACUCAACAGUCGACAGCCGUCUCCCAUCUCUUGUCUGUUUCCAGCCAACGCCCCUUUCCUCAUUCAAUGAAGAUUGGCGCCCAACCACGCGACAACGGAAUGACCUCCAUCCGUCCUUCCACUCGACCGACGGAUGAAGGGCGGAUCCAGCGCAGACUCCGCGCCCCGGUGGGAAAAAUACGUGCGGGUGUGGUCGCCGAGUGUCCCAUUCCAAUGACAGUUCGAGCCGAUGUCACCUAUCAAAAUUGCUUUUAACGCGUGGCAAAAGGCGGACCCGCGUCAACUGACAUGAGUAGUCAGAAAACAGGGGUUAUGUCACGUUUGAAAUCUGCCCAAGAGAGGGGAAGAAGGAGGAGGGCGGCAGGAAAACGUGAUAACUCUGGGGAAUAUCUACAUUUAAGUUUUUUCUAGCGAUUGUAAAGAGAAAAAUAACUCCUCUUUGUUCCUAUUGGCGUGGUUUGAAAUUGCGAAUUUUUAGUAAGAUUGCUGGAUAAUGCGUUCGCAAUUAAAAAUUUUGAUUCAGAAAUAAGCGGAGGGAAUUUUAUUCUUUGAAAUUCGAACGGCUUUUGUUUACUGCAUUUCUUUUCCUAAUCGUUCCUUUCUUUCUUUUUUAGAUGGUUCCUUUUCUCUGGAGGGAGCGCUGUAUCGAUGGAAGAUUCCCGGCGGGGAUCCG